GAGACUCUGUGCGCGUGCAUAUCAAUAAGCGGAGGAAAAGAAACUAACAAGGAUUCCCUUAGUAACGGCGAGUGAAGCGGGAAGAGCUCAAAUUUGAAAUCUUCAAGGUUCUACCUUGACGAAUUGUAGUUUAUAGAAGUGUUUUCUGUUAGUGGAGUGGCAAAAGUUCUUUGGAAUAGGACAUCAUAGAGGGUGAGAAUCCCGUAUUUGGUCAUUCCUCCUAGCGUUGUGAUACACUUUCAACGAGUCGGAUUGUUUGGGAAUGCAGUCCAAAAUGGGUGGUAAAUUUCAUCUAAAGCUAAAUAUUGGCGAGAGACCGAUAGCGAACAAGUACCGUGAGGGAAAGAUGAAAAGAACUUUGAAAAGAGAGUUAAACAGUACGUGAAAUUGUCAAAAGGGAAGCGUUUGACACCAGUGUUGUUUUUCCGAAAAUCAAUUACGAAUGUUUUGUUUUUGAGGAGUUAUGACUUCAUCGGCUUGCUCCUUUCUUUAUGAAACUUUCUUAAUGCACUUUUCGGUUAACAAGUCAACAUCAAUUUCUUUUGUUGUAAAAGGGUAUGAGGAAGGUGGCUUUCUUUUCGGAGAAAGUGUUUAUAGCCUUGUGCCUCUGCAAUCGGAGAGAUUGAGGUCUGCAGCGUAGAUCCUUCGGGGUUAGAUACGUUUGUGCUAAGUUAUAGCUUUUCAUAGACAACUUGUUGACUAUGUUUAGUCUUGUAGCUUACUCGCUGACGCUAUUUUACCUACGCUUAGGAUGUUGACAGCAGUAUAGACUGU
RNAcentral lists this ribosomal RNA (774 nucleotides) under uncultured Neocallimastigales. Its description in RNAcentral is "partial large subunit ribosomal RNA". It matches the Rfam family "Eukaryotic large subunit ribosomal RNA", at positions 23 to 640 of the family's 3401-position model. The record is from RNAcentral. Lineage: Eukaryota; Fungi; Neocallimastigomycota; Neocallimastigomycetes; Neocallimastigales.